GAUGAACGCUGGCGGCGUGCCUAAUACAUGCAAGUCGAGCGAACGGACGAGAAGCUUGCGUCUCUGAUGUUAGCGGCGGACGGGUGAGUAACACGUGGAUAACCUACCUAUAAGACUGGGAUAACUUCGGGAAACCGGAGCUAAUACCGGAUAAUAUUUUGAACCGCAUGGUUCAAGAGUGAAAGACGGUCUUGCUGUCACUUAUAGAUGGAUCCGCGCUGCAUUAGCUAGUUGGUAAGGUAACGGCUUACCAAGGCAACGAUGCAUAGCCGACCUGAGAGGGUGGUCGGCCACACUGGCAGUGAGACACGGUCCAGACUCCUACGGGAGGCAGCAGUCGGGAAUGUUCCGCACUGGGCGAAAGCAUGACGGAGCAACGCCGCGUGCGUGAUGAAGGUCUUCGGAUCGUAAAACUCUGUUAUUAGGGAAGAACAUAUGUGUAAGUAACUGUGCACAUCUUGACGGUACCUAAUCAGAAAGCCCCGGCUAACUACGUG
Molecule: ribosomal RNA, 497 nt
Filed under: uncultured bacterium
Lineage: Bacteria
Description: partial 16S ribosomal RNA
Rfam family: Bacterial small subunit ribosomal RNA
Source: RNAcentral